RNAcentral lists this small nuclear RNA (105 nucleotides) under Propithecus coquereli (Coquerel's sifaka). The record is from RNAcentral. Lineage: Eukaryota; Metazoa; Chordata; Mammalia; Primates; Indriidae.
GUGCUCGCUUUGGCAGCACAUAUACUAAAAUUGGAACGGUACAGAGAAGAUUAACAUGGCCCCUGCGCAAGAAUGACAAUAAAAAAAUAACAAUAAUGAUUCAUU